RNAcentral lists this long non-coding RNA (1722 nucleotides) under Nicotiana benthamiana. RNAcentral's name for it is "long non-coding RNA (NBEN_LNC012643)". Lineage: Eukaryota; Viridiplantae; Streptophyta; Magnoliopsida; Solanales; Solanaceae. The record is from RNAcentral.
GUUGUAAAACAUUCCUCCAUUCGAAUUAUGUUGGCUUUGGUAGCACAAUUGGAUUUGGAACUAGUUCAGAUGGAUGUAAAAACUGCUUUUUUACAUGGAAACUUGGAGGAGGAAAUCUACAUGACUUAGCCAGAAGGAUUCAAAGUUGCUGGAAAAGGAAAUAUGGUGUGCAAACUUGAAAAAUCAUUGUGUGGAUUGACUUCUAGACAAUGGUACAAACGAUUUGACAAGUUUAUCUUGCAACAAGGGUACAAGAGAAGAAAAUACGAUCAUUGUGUGUAUUUGCGCAGGCUUAAAGAUGGUUCCUUUAUAUAUCUUCUCCUAUAUGUUGAUGAUAUGUUGAUAGCUUCCAAGAAUUCAGAAGAAAUUAAUAAGUUGAAGAUUCAAAUGAAGAAGGAGUUCGAGAUGAAGGAUCUGGGUGAGGCAAAGAAAAUUCUUGGCAUGGAGAUAAUAAGAGAUAGGUGUUCAAAGAAACUUUGUUUAUCUCAGAAAGAAUAUUUGAAAAGAGCACUACAACGUUUUGGCAUAGAUGACAAGACUAAGCCAGUUAGUACUCCACUUGCUCCCAAUUUUAAGCUAAGUACUACUAUGUCACCAAAUGAUGAGGCUGAACGAGAGUAUAUGUCAAAGGUACCAUACACAAAUGCUGUUGGUAGCUUGAUGUAUGCAAUGGUCUGUACAAGACCUGACAUUUCACAAGCUGUUGGAGUUAUUAGCAGAUAUAUGCGUAAUUCAAGGAAGGAGCAUUGGCAAGUGCGUACAAGACCUGACAUUUCACAAGCCGUUGGAGUUAUUAGCAGAUAUAUGCAUAAUCCAGGAAAGGAGCAUUGACAAGCUUUGAAGUGGAUUCUACGGUAUAUUCAAUAAUACUGUAAAUGUCGGGUUAGUUUUUGAGCAGGAAGACAAUCAGUCUGUAGUUGGAUAUUGUGACUCAGAUUUUUCGGGUGAUAUGGACAAAUAAAGAUCAACUACUGGUUAUGUGUUUACUUUUGCAAGGGCACCGGUUAGUUGGAAGUCUACUUUACAGUCAACAGUUGCUUUAUCUACAACAGAGGCAGAGUACAUGGUUAUUACAGAGGCUGUGAAGGAAGCAAUUUGACUUCAGGGAUUGCUAAAGGAGCUUGGUGUUAAACAAAAAGGUAUCACAAUUUUUUGUGAUAGUCAAAGUGCUAUUCAAUUACCGAAGAACCAAAUUUAUCAUGCAAGGACGAAGCACAUUGAUGUUCAAUAUCAUUUCGUACGAGAAAUCAUCGAAGAAGGUGGAGUCACGGUGAAGAAAAUUCAUACUACAGAGAAUCCUGCUGAUAUGCUAACAAAAGUGGUGACUGUGGUCAAGUUUCAACAUUGUUUGGAUUUGAUCAACAUUGUUGAACACCGAAGAUUGAAGAUGAAGACACAACCAAAAUUUGUUACAGAGAGAAAAUUGAAGAUAUGGAAUUUUGCCAAGGUGGAGAUUUGUUGAAAAUGGCAAACUCCCACAUCAGUGGGAGACUUAUUUUGGGGAAGUUUCUCCCUAUAAAAGAAGGUCUAAUGUUUAAGAUUUAAACACACCUCUCAUUUGCCUUCUCAUCUGUUUAAGACAUUUGUAUCUUCUCUCUUUAGUAUUAUUUUACUUGUAUUUUUGGAGUAGAAUAAAAUAUUGGUUUUGUCCGAGGAGUAGGCAAAAUUGGCCGAACCUGUAAAUUCUGGUGUUUCUUUUAUUGUUGCUUUAUUGUCUUAUUU